This 349-nucleotide ribosomal RNA is filed under the name uncultured beta proteobacterium. RNAcentral describes it as "bacterial SSU rRNA". It matches the Rfam family "Bacterial small subunit ribosomal RNA", at positions 261 to 603 of the family's 1533-position model. The record is from RNAcentral. Lineage: Bacteria; Pseudomonadati; Pseudomonadota; Betaproteobacteria.
AGGCUUACCAAGGCNNCGAUCAGUAGCUGGUCUMAMAGGACGACCAGCCACACUGGGACUGAGACACGGCCCAGACUCCUACGGGAGGCAGCAGUGGGGAAUUUUGGACAAUGGGGGAAACCCUGAUCCAGCCAUGCCGCGUGAGUGAAGAAGGCCUUCGGGUUGUAAAGCUCUUUCAGCCGGAACGAAACGGUCACGGCUAAUACCUGUGACCACUGACGGUACCGGAAGAAGAAGCACCGGCUAACUACGUGCCAGCAGCCGCGGUAAUACGUAGGGUGCAAGCGUUAAUCGGAAUUACUGGGCGUAAAGCGUGCSCAGGCGUUUUGUAAGUCAGAUGUGAAAUCCC